Molecule: transfer RNA, 72 nt
Filed under: Bos taurus (domestic cattle)
Lineage: Eukaryota; Metazoa; Chordata; Mammalia; Artiodactyla; Bovidae
Also listed under: 1 other name
Rfam family: tRNA
About the family: Transfer RNA (tRNA) molecules are approximately 80 nucleotides in length. Their secondary structure includes four short double-helical elements and three loops (D, anti-codon, and T loops).
Source: Rfam by way of RNAcentral
UCCCCAGCGGUCCAGUGGUUAGGACUCUGCACUUUCACUGCCAAGGGCCCGGGUUCAAUCCCUGGUGGGGAA